Molecule: ribosomal RNA, 253 nt
Filed under: uncultured bacterium
Lineage: Bacteria
Description: partial 16S ribosomal RNA
Rfam family: Bacterial small subunit ribosomal RNA
Source: RNAcentral
UACGUAGGGGGCAAGCGUUGUCCGGAAUCAUUGGGCGUAAAGAGCGCGUAGGCGGCCCUGUAAGUCCGCUGUGAAAGUCAAGGGCUCAACCCUUGAAUGCCGGUGGAUACUGCAGGGCUAGAGUCCGGAAGAGGCGAGUGGAAUUCCCGGUGUAGAGGUGAAAUGCGCAGAUAUCAGGAGGAACACCAACGGCGAAGGCAGCACUCUGGGCCGGAACUGACGCUGAGGAGCGAAAGCCAGGGGAGCAAACGGG